GUCAAGGUUCAAUCUGUUAAUAUUCAUACAUUUUUAUCAAUUAAAGCAAGACGUAAAUGCAUCUCCCAGAAGUUUUUUGUUUACAUUGCUGUCUUGGGCGAGUGGCGAGUUGAGAAAAGCUCGUUUUAUCGAUCGACAAAAAUGAGUUGAUAAGGAGAGAAUAGCUUUACAAAAAACGGUUAGAGGUCACGCGGAACUCGAAUUGAGCACCUCUGUGUCAAAAAUGGUUACAUGUGCAGCGCGACGCGCAUAACGGCUCGCGCACAUACGUCAUUUAAAUCAGUUCGAAUACUUACGUCGCGCGUGUUUGGAGUUCGGAGGUUAUAAAAAUUCGCAUUGUUAAUCACUUGAAUCGUACACACGCAUGACACAGUGAGAUACUGAGAUUGUUUACGUUGGAAACAGAUCAAACCAAUAUAUGAUGGCAUUGGGCAGCGUUUGAACGACACAUAGUGACUAUUGGAUGAAAAGAAUACACUGCCGGCGCAUUAGAGGGUGUCCUGGGCGUGAAGGUGUCCGUCAUAAUUUGCCACCCGGCGCAUAAUCCCCGUGACAAAGGCCGACAAAGUGACGGCUGUUACUUGGACCGGCGCGGCGGCGCACCGUAUACUAGCUGCAGGGAAUCCGGUAGCAGGUAAAACGUUUAAAGAUACCGUGCGCCGCAGUCAAAGAGAUGAAUCACGCCGUAGAUAAAUGGCCGCGAUCUGAACGGCUUUUUACGGUGAGGCGAGGCGCGGCGCACUCAUGCGAGCUCCGAGUGGAUUCGCAAAUCCAUCGAUAGUUUAUUAUCGUUAGUGUACGUGAUGAAGAGAAACAGAGAAACAUUCGUUGUUUUCUUCGGCAAAUACAUUUUUUUCUUCAUAGUUUUUGUCGGAAAAUUUUAUUUUAAAUGACAACAUUAAAAUUUACUUUUUUCUCUAUUACUCUAAUAUUGCAUAUGAAUGUAAAUACUCAUCUUAAUCCUUAAUUUCAAAUGAUUAAUAGUUUUUUAGAGAAAUAUUAUAGAAAUUGUAUCGAUAAAUGUAUAUUAUAUUAUUUGCAAUUGUAGCAGAUACAGAGAUAAAUAAGCUAUUUGUUAGAAAAUUAUUAUGUUUUUAUCCCUAAACGAUAUUAGUCCUUUUAUGUUUAAUAAUCUUCUUCGUUUUUGGAAAAUAAACGGAUUCGAUUAUCGCAUUUUUACUGAAAUUUAUCUUUUUUAAAAUGUUUCUUUUCUUGUCACACAUAGUACAUAUAUAACAGUUUCAUAAAAUAAAAACAAAUUUCAUUAUAAUAGAUUAGAUAACUUAAAAUAUUUCCUAUUAUAAUUCUCGAUCUCGGUUUUUGUUUAAAUAAUUCUUGUCGAUUUUACAACUCGAUAAGAUUUUAUUAGAUUCCAUUCUGCGUACACAUUUUUUCAAUUUUUGAACGAUUUAAUGUGUAUAUGGUUUUUUAAAUUUUUAUAAAAAUAAAAUAAUAGAUUACUUGAUUUGAUAUAUAUUCCUAUCAUACAAGAUAAUAAAAUGUUUAUAUAUAAAAUGCAUAAACAGAAUAUUAACGAGUUUUUAAUAAUACUAACGCAUAGGAUACAUAUACAAGCAGAAUUUUAAUCUAUUUAAAAUUUAAAUUUUAGAAUUUAUAAAAAUUAACUUACAGUAUAUUCAACAAAUAAUGAUAUUUAUUAUAUUUAACAAUAUUUAAUUUAAGGCUGAAUAUAAAUAGCUGAGAUAUUUUAUUUCUAUCGGUUUAAGAUAUAAAGAGGCCAUCGAUCCCUUUUAUCUUUCCGCGUAAGUAAAUGAUCUCAAACUUUAGCAUCGGAGCAGAAAUGACGUUGAACGGCAAUGCCCUGCUUUACGGAUCCGUCCUUCACAAAAGAAGCAUUUGCUUCCGCGAGAUUAAGGAGCUGGCUGAUCCGACUCCCCCGUCGCGAAUUCAUUUGUUCCACACCUGAUUCCCUCUCGAGGUUGACUGAUUCUCGUGGUUGGUGAUGCGUGGCAUUCCGCCGAUGCGGCGUGCGCGAAUGCACACGCAUGGAAUGAUAGAGAAAGAAAGGAAUAAAGAAAGAAAAAGAGAGAGAAAGAGGUGCAAUUUAUUCAUACUUUGGGACAUAAAUUCCCUAAGGGCAUACAGGAAAGAAUAUAACUUUAGGAAUGACAUAUAAAAUACAAUAACAGUGAAAUAAUAAUGAAAAUAAGUAAGAUUAUAAUUUACGAAAAUAUAUAAUUCCACGUCUACGUAUGUGAGUGUGAGAUUAAGUUAACAUCUUUAUACAAAUAUUAAUUGAUUAAGAUACAGAGUUAUAUGCUUGUGUAAUAUGCUAUAACUCUAUCUUAAAUCUAAACAAAAUUGUACAUAUAUAUAUUGUAAUUAUAUAUAACCUAUGUAUGAUAUGCCUAUGUACGAUAUGUAUAAGAUGUAGAACUUACAUAAACGUCUUUCUAUAUAGACAUGCACAUCUUUUUUACAAGUUACAAAACAUAAUAAAUUUCGGCUUUAUUUUAUUCCCUCCCAAUCGUAAAACACAAUAAAGGUCCCAGAGAGAUUUGGACAAUAUCAAAUGCCUGUCUUUUGAUUAGUAAUAAUAUAGCUGCAAGAAAACGCGAUGUAGAGAAAGAGGCAGAGAGAAACAGAGAGGGAUGCAUAAGGGAGACGAAAACAGGUUAAAAAUAGCCAGAGAGUGGAUCGCGGUCGGCAUCUUUGAAAGAGGGCCGCGCGUCUUACUGGCCGGCCGGAGAGUCGUUGAUCGUUCGCAUCGCGUUUCGUCGUCGUCUGGAUGUUGAUGAUGAUGGUGAGAGACCGUCUCGUUACCAUUACGAGGGCCGUCCGGCCGGCUAACACGCACCGCAAACCACGCAUUACCAUAACCGCGCGGCGCGGCGCAGCGGGGUUGUUGCUGCGGCUCCUUCCUCGGGAGGAAUUGGCGAAAGUAAGCGUCAGCUUUCGACGCGCUCUCGCGACUUAACGAGCGCGGUUCCGCGAGUAACGGAGGGGACUAGGAGGAGAAGUUCUGCGAGGGUGCUAGAUUACAUCCUCUCGAAACGGCUUUCAUCCCCACCUGCUGCGGGCGAACUUUUACACAAAAUUACUUUCAACGGCAUUCGGUGCAAUUUCCAUGGUAUUUUAGAAUAUUUUGAACAUAUCAAGAUUCCAUUAGAAUCCCACCUCCCCUCCCCCCUACAAAAAGAAGAAUUCGGUUACGUUCAUUUUACGAAAUGGCGUUUGCCUGUUUUGUAUUCAACGCGAUUUAUAUUACGGCGAAUUCAUUAACUCAUACAACAAUUGUAAAAUUGAUUUAAUGAUACGUUGUGUGUACUAAAAGACCGCAGUUACAGAAUGAAUAUUUAUUAUUUUUCAUUAUCAUCGAUUUCAUCAACUGGUCGCAUGUAACAGAGAAUAAUGUAGCAUGCAAAUUCAACAUUAAAUUAAAAACGUGCGCGCAAUUCCUCCCCGUUAUAUGCAUGAAUAUAUGUUUCUCUGGAGAACAAAGCCCUGUGAUCUAUUUCCGUUGUUUAAGUAGCUUAUCACAUAUUUUAAUACCAAUACAAUGAAACAAUCAUAUUAUCAUUCUGUGACUUAAAAAUAAAAGAACAGCGUUUUAUGCUUGUGUAACCGUAUUACAUUUUCUUCGUUCUUUGCCACGAGUCACAGAUAAGAUAAUACCUCGAAUGUAUCGGUGCAAAGUUGUCGAACUCUCCAAGGAAAUCAUCUUUCGCUUCUACUUGCUUCUAUUUGCUUUCUAUGAAUAUUGGUAUAUAAACGUGUCUUUUAACAUAGAAAUUGUCAGUUAUUUCCUUUCUUGGAUGUUUCUCUCGCCACUCUUACGGUAAUAGGUUAUCGUUCAUGAGUUUAUAGGUAUAUCGCGGAUAUUGAGAUCUCGAUCUUCGCGCGAGAAUCAACUCGCGAGAGGCUCGGUAUCUUUUGCCGGAUGACGGUGCAUAUGAAAUCUUCUAUAGUCUUUUUUUCUUUUCUCGUGCCGCUUCGCCGGUAGAUCAGUCCCCUUAACGGUGCGAGGAUACGUCCGGAUGAAGGCGAAACGAGAUAUACGUUUGAUUCCAGCAAUUGAGUUGUCUACGGGAAUAGAUGUCGGACUUUGCCAUUCUUCGGCUUAGCUUCGACUUAGCUGUGCGUUUCCGCUCCAAUCGGGUGAUGUUCAGAUAAAAGCCAAGGUGCGUGAUAUUCUCUGUAUUCUUGCGAUUACUUCUAUGCAACGUGAUAUUUACUUAGGACUGAAUGCUUCUUUUCAUUAAUGCAAUAUAUAAUCCUUUAAAAAAUGCAUAGAAAAUACAUGAAAGAAAAGCAAAUCCGUUUUCUCUUGACAUUUUAAAGAAUUCUGCACACAAUAGAUUUAUACCAACGAUAAUGGUUGAAUACAGUCCAAUAUUCUAUGCACUUUAAUCUAUAGGGCAACGUUAUUUCUUAUCCAUAUAUGCUAAUCAUAGAUUGAUUCUGAAACUAGUAUACUCUAUAAGUCGAUACAUGAUAUCAAAACAUCCUAAGGCAAAUAUUUUAUCUAUAUCCUAGGCGUUUGGAUACAUCGCAACAUGUCUAGGAGAGAACAAAUAUUUGCAUAUACUCCUAAGACUAAAUCCAGCAAUUAAUAUAACGUCUGGCAAUAAUCAACGACGGUGGGCAUAUAUCACUUCUAUUUAGAUCAAAACAUCCGUAAAAGGAGGGGUAGAGCGGCAAGGAAAGACCUGAAAAAAUCGGCGUAAAUAUCUGCCGUAAUUUACGUCGGUAGGUCCGAAAGAAAGAAAAAGGAGACAACGGUGAGGAAGGAAGAGAGAAAGCAGGAGAUAGGCGCAUGUGAAAGGGUAAAGGGAAGGAAGAGACGAGGAAGGAAGAAAGAGCAGGUGGCAAGAUAGGGUAUACGCCAGUGGAUUAAGGCACGGAGCGGCGAGUCAAAGAGAUUUUCUCCCUGGCUCGUCUCGGCAGGGGCCCCUCGUCCUAACAAGGGCUGAAAUAUGACUGCCUUGCCCUGCCUCGCCUUCACUUGCUCGCUCGUUCGCUUGGCUCGGCUUCGCCGCGCCGCGCCGCGCCGCGCUGUGCCGCGCCGCAGCGUGCGCGUCUUCCGAACGCCGCGCUGUACGAAGGAAAAGUGAAGGAGAUAUCUGCUGGCAACUAAUUUAUCGGUUGGCCUGCUUGCCGACGAUCCGCGGGAUCAAUGCACUUCCCCGGCGACGGGUUCAUAAACUAGCUCUAACAUAGGUCGCGAUUCGUGUCGACAUUAAUUAGCUGCACGACGAGGAAAUUCGAGAAAAUGCAAUGAAGUUGGCCAAGAGUAAAGAAAUUAGCAAAAGGGAUUGUCGAUUCUAUAUUAAUUAGCCCUAUCGUGCAAAAAUUAAGCAAUGCGAAAUUUUUACGUAAUAUUUUUUUUAAUAGAAACAAAUUUGUUUUAACAAAAAUAGGCUGUUUAAGUGCGAAAAAGGUGAAAAUAAACAGUCAUUGGCGAAUAUUAAUCGUAUAUAUUCAGUCAGAUAAAAUUUAAAUGAGUUUCAUGUUAACAAAAUUUGAAUAUCAGUCAUUUAAGAGAAGGCAAAUUAUAAGAUAUUAAAUGACAAUAUUAAGGUGACUUUAGACCUAAGAACGAUGGAAUGUUUAACGUUGAUCAAUGUUGCAUAUUAGACUGAUGAUAUAUUUAAAACUUGAUUACAUUAUCUAACAAAAUUUGAUCUUUUGUUUACAAUAUGAAUGCAACUAAUCAUUUUCAACAAUUUUUUGCUUGCUGACUAAGAAUUUGUUGUCAAAUUUGACAUGUCUCAAUUUUGAGAAAGAUGACAUUAAAGAGUAAAAAAUGAUUUUAAGGGUUUUUAUGAUGUUGUAGUUAAUUUUUUUAAAUUUUACUUAUAGCAUCCAAAAAUAUUAACUGAUAAUUUUAAAAUGCAUUUUGGUUUGUUUUGAUAUCAUUUUCUGUUUUUGAGAUACAGCAAUUGAAAAAAAAUCUUGUAACACGCAUUGUUAUUGAAAUAUUUCAAAAAUGAAAAAUUAUAUAAAAACGCACCAAAAUGCAUUUUAAAGCUACAAGUUGAUACUUUCGUGUGACAAAAAAUUUGAUGUCAUAACACAAAAAUUAAAAUAGCAAUUUUUUAUUCUUUGAUGUUACUUUUUUUAAAAUUGUGAUGUAAUAACUAAAAUUAGACAAUUUGUGUACAGCGGAAUAUACAUCGAAAAUGAAUUCAUGGAAAAAGGAAAAAAUUCUAUUUGUACGGAAAAUGAGAUUAAAUUGCUGUAUCUUGAAAAUAAAAAUCAUAUUGAAACAAAUCAAAGUACAUUUUAAAGCUAAAGCUAAUCUCGUUAUUAAAAUUUAGGAAAAAUUACUAUUUGUAUUCACGCUGCAAAAUGACGUUAUCAGAAUAUAAUCGAUAAAAA
This 6342-nucleotide long non-coding RNA is filed under the name Monomorium pharaonis (pharaoh ant). RNAcentral's name for it is "uncharacterized LOC114255532". The record is from RNAcentral. Lineage: Eukaryota; Metazoa; Arthropoda; Insecta; Hymenoptera; Formicidae.